GCAUAUCAUAGCGGAGGAAAAGAAACCAACAGGGAUUGCCCCAGUAACGGCGAAGUGAAGCGGCAACAGCUCAAAUUUGAAAUCUGGCCCCCAGGGCCCGAGUUGUAAUUUGUAGAGGAUGCUUUUGGCGCGGUGCCUUCCGAGUUCCCUGGAACGGGACGCCAUAGAGGGUGAGAGCCCCGUCUGGUUGGACACCUAGCCUCUGUAAAGCUCCUUCGACGAGUCGAGUAGUUUGGGAAUGCUGCUCUAAAUGGGAGGUAUAUGUCUUCUAAAGCUAAAUACCGGCCAGAGACCGAUAGCGCACAAGUAGAGUGAUCGAAAGAUGAAAAGCACUUUGAAAAGAGGGUUAAAUAGUACGUGAAAUUGUUGAAAGGGAAGCGUUUGUGACCAGACUUGGGCCCGGUUGAUCAUCCAGCGUUCUCGCUGGUGCACUCUGCCGGCCCAGGCCAGCAUCAGUUCGCGCCGGGGGAUAAAGGUUUCGGGAAUGUGGCUCCCUCGGGAGUGUUAUAGCCCGUUGCGUAAUACCCUGGUGCGGACUGAGGUUCGCGCUCCGCAAGGAUGCUGGCGUAAUGGUCAUCAGCGACCCGUCUUGAAACACGGACCAAGGAGUCGUCUUCGUAUGCGAGUGUUCGGGUGUCAAACCCCUACGCGUAAUGAAAGUGAACGCAGGUGAGAGCUUCGGCGCAUCAUCGACCGAUCCUGAUGUUCUCGGAUGGAUUUGAGUAAGAGCAUACGGGGCCGGACCCGAAAGAAGGUGAACUAUGCCUGUAUAGGGUGAAGCCAGAGGAAAACUCUGGUGGAGGCUCGCAGCGGUUCUGACGUGCAAAUCGAUCGUCAAAUAAUGGGCAUGGGGGCGAAAGACUAAUCGAACCUUCUAGUAGCUGGUUUCCGCCGA
The sequence is a ribosomal RNA, 895 nucleotides long. It matches the Rfam family "Eukaryotic large subunit ribosomal RNA", at positions 38 to 964 of the family's 3401-position model.